RNAcentral lists this ribosomal RNA (330 nucleotides) under uncultured eukaryote. RNAcentral's name for it is "partial 18S ribosomal RNA". It matches the Rfam family "Eukaryotic small subunit ribosomal RNA", at positions 1470 to 1796 of the family's 1831-position model. The record is from RNAcentral.
CCCUUAGAUGUUCGGGGCCGCACGCGCGCUACACUGAAGGAAUCAGCACGUCUUUCUCCUUGUCCGAAAGGACUGGGUAACCCGCUGAACCUCCUUCGUGCUAGGGAUUGGGGCUUGUAAUUCUUCCCCAUGAACGAGGAAUUCCCAGUAAGCGCGAGUCAUAAGCUCGCGUUGAUUACGUCCCUGCCCUUUGUACACACCGCCCGUCGCUACUACCGAUUGGAUGGUUUAGUGAGAUCCUCGGAUUGGUCCCGGAGCGGCCUCCGGUCGUGCCGGAGUGCCGAAAAGAAUGUCGAACUUGAUCAUCUAGAGGAAGUAAAAGUCGUAACA